RNAcentral lists this ribosomal RNA (513 nucleotides) under uncultured bacterium. RNAcentral describes it as "partial 16S ribosomal RNA". It matches the Rfam family "Bacterial small subunit ribosomal RNA", at positions 28 to 523 of the family's 1533-position model. The record is from RNAcentral.
GACGAACGCUGGCGGCAUGCCUAAUACAUGCAAGUCGAGCGAACAGAUGAAGUGCUUGCACCUCUGACGUUAGCGGCGAACGGGUGAGUAACACGUAAGGAAUCUACCUAUAAGCGGGGGAUAACAUUCGGAAACGGGUGCUAAUACCGCAUAAUAUCUUCUUCCGCAUGGAAGAAGAUUGAAAGACGGCUCUGCUGUCACUUAUAGAUGACCUUGCGGUGCAUUAGUUAGUUGGUGGGGUAACGGCCUACCAAGACGAUGAUGCAUAGCCGACCUGAGAGGGUGAUCGGCAACAUUGGGACUGAGACACGGCCCAAACUCCUACGGGAGGCAGCAGUAGGGAAUCUUCCGCAAUGGGCGAAAGCCUGACGGAGCAAUGCCGCGUGAGUGAAGAAGGCCUUCGGGUCGUAAAACUCUGUUAUAAGAGAAGAACAAAUUGUAGAGUAACUGCUACAGUCUUGACGGUAUCUUAUCAGAAAGCCACGGCUAACUACGUGCCAGCAGCCGCCGUAA